GGAUGGGAAGUCUAAUAAGAGGAUGCUACACUGUAAAUGUAGAGGAGGUUACACCCCCAUCCA
RNAcentral lists this transfer RNA (63 nucleotides) under Bovicola caprae. RNAcentral's name for it is "tRNA-Tyr". Lineage: Eukaryota; Metazoa; Arthropoda; Insecta; Psocodea; Bovicoliidae. The record is from RNAcentral.